This 274-nucleotide ribosomal RNA is filed under the name uncultured bacterium. Its description in RNAcentral is "partial 16S ribosomal RNA". It matches the Rfam family "Bacterial small subunit ribosomal RNA", at positions 523 to 796 of the family's 1533-position model. The record is from RNAcentral.
AUACGGAGGGUGCAAGCGUUAAUCGGAAUUACUGGGCGUAAAGAGUACGUAGGUGGUUUGUUAAGUCAGAUGUGAAAGCCCCGGGCUCAACCUGGGAACUGCAUUUGAAACUGGCAAACUAGAGUAUGGUAGAGGGGGGUAGAAUUUCUAGUGUAGCGGUGAAAUGCGUAGAUAUUAGAAGGAAUACCAGUGGCGAAGGCGGCCCCCUGGACCAAUACUGACACUGAGGUACGAAAGCGUGGGUAGCGAACAGAAUUAGAAACCCUAGUAGUCC